GACGAACGCUGGCGGCGUGCUUAACACAUGCAAGUCGAACGGAAAGGCCCUGCUUUUGUGGGGUGCUCGAGUGGCGAACGGGUGAGUAACACGUGAGUAACCUGCCCUUGACUUUGGGAUAACUUCAGGAAACUGGGGCUAAUACCGGAUAGGAGCUCCUGCUGCAUUGUGGGGGUUGGAAAGUUUCGGCGGUAGGGGCUGGACUCGCGGCUUAUCAGCUUGUUGGUGGGGUAGUGGCUUACCAAGGCUUUGACGGGUAGCCGGCCUGAGAGGGUGACCGGCCACAUUGGGACUGGGAUACGGCCCAGACUCCUACGGGAGGCAGCAGUGGGGAAUAUUGCACAAUGGGCGGAAGCCUGAUGCAGCAACGCCGCGUGCGGGAUGACGGCCUUCGGGUUGUAAACCGCUUUCGCCUGUGACGAAGCGUGAGUGACGGUAAUGGGUAAAGAAGCACCGGCUAACUACGUG
Molecule: ribosomal RNA, 468 nt
Filed under: uncultured bacterium
Lineage: Bacteria
Description: partial 16S ribosomal RNA
Rfam family: Bacterial small subunit ribosomal RNA
Source: RNAcentral